UUAGUUCUGACCGGGCCCGGUACAUGGGUCAAAACAAAAUCAUCGAGGGGCCCAGAUAUCAGCUUCUAAUCCAAGAAGGAACAGAUAAACUUCGACUCAUAUGUUUGUUCUACCACUCAUUGAAUUACACACAAAAGUACGUUUUAUAACAUCGAGUUACCAAUGCGGUUUCGUACAGUCAAUGCAUAACCAACUUGUAAGUAACAAAUCAUAUCUCUAGGUUUGAAGACUUAUAUGAUAUUACCGUCUCACGAUCACUCGAGAUAGAAUUCCAUGAAGUGAUUCCAGUGAGCGUGGGUUGAGUCCAAUGCUCAGAACUUAUGAGCACUCAUGAUUGUUGUAGCCUUGUCCAAGACCUCUACAACCAAACAUGACAGUCUUGAUUCAUAUCUACUUCCAACAUAUGACCGACUGUGGAGGUUUGAAUAAUAUGUUAUACCAAACAAAAUUAUUCUGGAAGUCAAAACAUGCAAAAGAAAUAUAGUAAACGAUCGACAAGAGAUAGCAACACUUUACUCAUAAAUAAAACACCUUUUAUUCAUCAUCAAAUGUCAAUUACACUUUACAAAUUUCUGGGUUAUCUAACUACUAAAACUUAUAUCAUCCUUCAGCCCUAUGCUCCGAGCAUGCUGGAGAUGCUUAACCCUACUCAGUCCCUUCGUGAGGGGAUCUGCUGGGUUCUCAUCCGAUGAUACCCUCUUUGCCACGAGGAGUCCUUCUUCGAUCCGAUGUCUAAUGAAAUGGUAUUUUCUGUCGAUGUGUCUGGAUCUCCCAUGAUCCCUUGGUUCCUUGGCUAAGGCAACAGCACUUUCACUAUCACAGAAAAUUUCCAUUGGCUCUUUAAUAGCUGGUACAACUCCAAGGUCUCCAAUGAAGUUCUUCAGCCAUAUCGCCUCCUUUGCUGCUUCACUAGCUGCAAUAUACUCUGAUUCACAAGUAGAAUCUGCCACUGUCUCUUGCUUGGAACUCUUCCAAGAAAUUGCUCCUCCGUUUAGGGUAAAGACCCAGCCCGACUGAGAGCGGAAAUUAUCCCUAUCAGUCUGGAAGCUAGCAUCACUAUACCCUACAACUCUCAAGUCAUCACUCCCACCGAGGGUAAGGACCCAGUCCUUAGUCCUCCGUAGGUACUUGAGGAUAUUCUUUACCGCAGUCCAGUGUGCCUUGCCAGGGUUCGCCUGAUACCUGCUAACCAUGCUCAAGGCAAAAGCUACAUCGGGUCGAGUACACGUCAUAGCAUACAUGAUCGAUCCUACAGCCGAAGCGUAAGGUGUUCGACUCAUUUCUGCUAUCUCAGCCUCAGUGCUAGGGCUUUGUGUCUUACUCAAUCUGGUGUUACUCUGGAUGGGUAACUCUCCUUUCUUGGAAUCCUGCAUGCUGAAUCUCUUCAGCACCUUAUCCAAGUAGGUACUCUGACUAAGUCCAAUUAGUCUUUUACUCCGAUCUCUCAAGAUUCUUAUCCCUAGAAUAUAGGCAGCUUCACCAAGGUCCUUCAUAGCGAAACACUUCCCAAGCCAGGACUUUACUUCCUGCAGGGUUGGAAUGUCGUUUCCUAUGAGUAGUAUGUCAUCCACAUACAAUACCAAAAAGCUAACUAUACUCCCACUAGCCUUGACAUACACACAAGAUUCAUCUUCACUCCUAGAAAAGCCAAAUUCCUUGACCUUUUCAUCAAAGCAAAGAUUCCAUCUGCGAGGUGCUUGCUUCAAUCCAUAAAUGGAUUUCUCAAGCUUACACACUCUAUUAGGGUACUCGUUGCUGACAAAACCCUCUGGCUGACUCAUGUAAACAUCUUCAGCCAACUUUCCAUUAAGGAAAGCGGUUUUGACAUCCAUCUGCCAUAUUUCAUAGUCAUGAAAUGCAGCUAUGGCUAACAGAACCCGAAUAGACUUAAUCUUGGCUACCGGAGAAAAGGUCUCAUCAUAAUCCACUCCAGGAAUUUGAGAGAAGCCCUUUGCAACCAGUCUAGCCUUAUAAGUGUGUACUUUACCAUCCAUGUCGGUCUUCUUCUUGAAGACCCAUUUGCACCCUACUGUCUUACGACCUGGUACAUUUUCAACCAAGUUCCAAACUUGAUUGUCAUACAUGGAUUGUAUCUCGCUAUCCAUAGCCUCUUUCCAUUUAGCAGACUCGGGGCCUGCCAUGGCUUCCUCGUAGCUGUUAGGGUCAUCUUGACUUACUAGUGUCUCAUCACUAAUAAGUGUCUCACCUUCUGCAGUAAUAUGGAAUCCAUAGUAAUGCUCAGGUGCACUCCUAACUCUCGUGGAACGUCUCAGAGGUACAGAUUUGUCAAUUGGCUCAACAGGAGUUUCCUCCUCAAGUUGAGGGCUAGAGUUUGAAGUUCCUUCACCGCUUGAUUCUUGAAUUUCUUCAAGAUCAAUUUGCCUCCCACUGUCUCCUUGGCUUAUAAACUCUCUUUCUCGAAAGACUCCUCUUCUUGCUACAAAGACCACAUUGUCACUAGGUCUGUAGAAGAGGUAACCAAAGGAUCGCUGUGGGUAACCGAUGAAAAUACACCUCUCGCUUCGAGGUUCGAGCUUAUCAUGAGUCUCGCGUCUCACGAAAGCCUCGCAACCCCAAAUCUUGAUGUGGUCUAGUUUAGGUACUUUACCAGUCCACAUCUCGUGAGGAGUUUUGGCAACUUUCUUUGUAGGGACUAGAUUAAGAAUAUGGGCGGCAGUCUCUAAGGCAUACCCCCAGAAUGAGAUUGGUAGCGUAGCUCGACUCAUCAUGGAACGAACCAUAUCUAACAAGGUUCGAUUACGCCUCUCAGCCACACCAUUCAACUGUGGUGUCCUGGGAGGUGUCAAUUGUGAGACUAUCCCACAUUCCCUUAGAUAGUCGAGGAACUCUGAACUAAGAUACUCACCACCACGAUCGGAUCGAAGCAUCUUAAUGUUCCUGCCCAAUUGAUUCUCGACUUCCUGUUUAAAUUCCUUAAACCUCUCGAAAGUCUCUGACUUAUGCUUGAUCAAGUAGACAUAUCCAUAUCUACUAUAAUCAUCAGUAAAAGUCAAAUAAUAACGAUUAGCAUCCCUUGUGGCAUGUUUGAAUGGUCCACACACAUCCGUGUGUAUAAGGUCCAACAAACCUUCACCCCUCUCACACGAACCUGUGAAGGGUGACUUUGUCAUUUUUCCAAGUAAGCAUGAUUCGCAACUAUCAUCUGACUUUAGGUCAAACGACUCCAAGACUCCAUCCUUUUGGAGUUGGCCUAUGCGUUUCUUGCUUAUAUGUCCAAGACGACAAUGCCAUAAAGAUGCUUUAUCCAAGUUAUUAUUAGUAGAAUCAAUACACAAAACAUUAUUUCCCAAGUUAUCUACAACAGAUACAGCUUCAUACACACCAUCACAAGGUAAUGCUUUAAAAUAAAAGACAUUAUUAUAGAAAACAUCUAUAGAACCAACUUCAUUAUUAAAUGAAAAGGUAAACCCUUGUUUGUACAAAGCAUGAAAGGAAAUAAUAUUUCUUGCCAUUCCUGGCGAAUAACAACACUUAUUCAAAUCUAAACUAAACCCACUACUUAGCGAUAAAGUAUAAACUCCAAUCUUGGUAACAGGUAUAGCUUUCCUAUUCCCCAUGAUCAAGUUUAUCCUUCCUUGCUCCACAUCCUCACUUCUUCUUAGUCCCUGCAAGUCACAACAAAUGUGAAUACCACACCCGGUAUCAAGGACCCAAGAAUUAGAAUGGGGUGAGUUAUUAGAAAUGAUAGUGUAAAUACCUGCAUGGUUGGGUUUAACUUUCCCAUCCUUCACAUCUUGCUGGUAUUUUGGGCAGUUCCGCUUCCAAUGAGCUUUUUCAUGGCAAUAGAAGCAUUCAGCCUCUUUUGGGUCAGAAGAAGGAGUAACGAAACCUUUCUUGGUUCCACUUGAAGAAGAGCCAUCAAGGGUCCGAGCCUUGGUACCCUUAGAAGAGCUCUUUCUCUUCCUCCCUCGACUUUUCCCGAUUGCCAAAACCGGAGUAGAGUUUUGAGUAGGAGUGAUAGCAACCGACUUCCCCUUAAGACCUGUUUCUGCGGUCUUGAGAAGUCCCUGAAGUUUGCUGAGGGUGACUUCUUCCUUGUUCAUGUGAUAUGUCAUGCGGAAUUGAUCAUAGCACGAUGGUAAGGAAUGCAAAAUAAUAUCUAUUGCAAGAUCCUCCGGGAAGUUCACAUUAAGCUUCAGCAAACGAUCCACAUACCUUUGCAUUUUCUGCAUGUGGCUCGUGACGGAUUCCCCGUCCUUCAUCAUGGUUGUUAUCAUGGAGCAGAUGAUUUCAUACCUCUCUUGUCUUGCACUUUGAUGGUAUCUUUCCAUCAAAUCUUGGUGCAUGUCAUAAGGGUAGAAAUCCUCAUAAGACUUUUGGAGUUCCGCUGUCAUCGUGGCCAUCAUGAUGCAAGCCACUUUCGUAGCAUCCCUUUCAUGUGCCCGAAAUUCAGCGAUCUCCUGAGGAGUUGCAGUGGACUCAUCAAUCUCCUUAAGCUCCUUGUCAAGGACAUAUUCUUUGUCCUCGUAGCGGGUAAUCAUCCUGAUGUUUCUGAUCCACUCAUUGAAGUUGGAUCCAUCAAAGGUGACUUUCCCACACAAGUUCAUAAGGGUAAAGGAGCCAUUAGGAUUAGAGCCAGAAGCAUUGUUGAAAGACAUCUGAAGGAAAGAGGACAAGAUUAGUUUAGAUAUAAGAGAGUCCUUAAUAAAACACCCAAAUGUAAUAUUAAGGCUAGGAUCCAAUCACAAUAUAAUAUAACUUAGAAGAGGUAUGCCGUAAUCUAAGCUAUAUCAUAUUUGAAAGGUAGGUGAAUGACGAUUCACCAAUUUCCACCACGAAAACCGCAAUAUUUUAGUAUUAGGUUUUUGAAUGGUUCUUAGAAAUUCCUAGAUUCUUUGAGAUUCAAUGAACUUUUCAAAGGCAUGUUUCAAUCUCGAGUGUGCCCUCCAAGUUUUGUGACUGGGAUACCGAGGAUCACAAAACGAGGUGUGAAGUAACCAUGCAAAUCACUUGGUACCCUUAAAGUUUAUCACUCAAUCGAUGUGCCGGUUAACCACACACGCUCCAUCGAUACUAUAAUAAACCCUAAGUCACCCUUUACCUACCUUGUUAAGUCCAAGUUAGUGUGCCGGUUAACCACACACGCUCCACCAACGACUUAAUCAAAGUGUAAAGUGUAAUUUCAUGGAAUAGCACCUUAUUCACAUUUUUCCUAAAGUAACUAAGAUUGGGAAUUUAAUAAAACAUUUAGUUACUUUAUAAUAUUCAUCAUACUUUGAAUGAGAAUUAAUAAGUCCUUGUCUUACCCGUUCGGCUAACGACCCUCCACCGAUCAAGCAAGCGGUGGGUGAGAGUGGACACCCAUUAAGUCACCAUUUUAUAGGCAACAACCUUAUACCCACCUUAUAGACCGGCUUCGUGAAUGAGGCGUACUAGCGGUAAGACGACUUUGUUCUUAUACAUAUAUAUAUAAUUAUUAAAUCAUAAUAAUAUAAGUAUAAGGGUUGAAUUUUAACUUUUAAAAUUCUAGGGGUUGGAACUAAAGUUUUAACUUAACUUUACUUGUUCCAAAACUUGAGGGCAAGUUUUGUAAACUUUCAAAACUUUUCAUUUCUUGUAACUUAUGAGUUUAAUAGAGUAAUAAAAUGAGGACUUUUCAUUUUUCCUAACUCUUGUGUUCUUUUAAUGGUUUUUAAUCCAAGAGACUUUUGGUUUUCCAUAACUUGAGGACAAGUUAUGGACUCCAUUAAAACACAUUAUGAUCAUGAAUUAAUCUACCACAUAGGUUACAAAUAAUUCCUAUGAUCAUCUAAACAUCAUAAGAACAAGAAUAUGAAUAUGAACACUUUCAAGAAUCAAAAUCACAUUUAAUCUUUGUAAUUUUGAUAACUAGUUGUUGUAAAUGAGUUAGAAAAGACAUUACACCUUCUAAAAUAAGUUUUCAAGUACCAAAACAUUUUAGGGUAAUGAUUCUAAUCCAUUUCCAGCAACUCAAGUCGAAAUUCUGCACUCUGUCGACCCUACUCGCCGAGUGCAUAAACCUACUCGCCGAGUAGGUUGAAGAUACACAUGAACUCGACGAGUCCUCCCCAUGGACUCGCCGAGUCCAUCAGUCAGACAGCAGAAUUUUCGACUUUCUUCAACUUUUAAGCACAAAUAACAAACAAACAAGCCUAGGCUCUGAUACCACUGAUGGGUUUUGAGCAUUCUAACACUUCCUAAGUGUACAUGCAACCCUAAUAACCUUGGAUCUAUGUUUGUCUAAUUAUCAUGCAAAGUUGAAUUCCAAGGUUAUAUUCCUAUCUAGCAUACAUGGGGAACAAUUUUAACUUGAAUCAUAGAUAGAAUAACUUACCUUGUUGUUGCUUGUGUUCCUUGAAACCUUGUGAGCCUAGCACCCCAAGUGUGAUGCCUCAAAUGCUUCACACAACACCAAAUGCUCUUGGAAAGACUCUUGAGAUAACACACACUUCUCAAAAUCGGCCAAGCCCUCUAGUUUCUUAGUGUUCAACUUGUGUAGCCAAUUUUGUGGAGAAUGGGACUCUUAUAUAGUGUUGGCACAUCUAGGGUUACACCAUGUAAACCCUAAUGUGUCAUGACUCUUCAUUUCCAUGACCCAUGGGUUUGUAACUCCCAUGGAGCAUCCAUGGAGCAUCCUAUGGGUAGAACCCAACUUGAUAAUCCAUGGAGCCUCUUAGCCCACUAUACAAGAUAUGGAUGAUUUACAUAAUCAACCCAUAUAUUUAAUUAGUUAUCCUUUGAUCACUUAAUUAAUUCCAAAUUAAUUCUUUGAUCAACUAAUCAAAUAAUAUUAUUAAUAUAUUAGAACUUAUAAUAUAUUAAUAAUCUCCAAGUGUUAUUUCUCUCAUUUAGUCUAUCCAAUUGCAUGGUGCCAUGCAACCCAAAUGGACCAUGCCGGGUCGGGUCAAGUACAAGCCCGAAAUAGUUAUGGACUUAGACACCUUAUCCAACAGUCUCCCACUUGGAUAAGUCUAAUAACUAUAUCUCUAGUACUUCAGGAACCGACCGGCAAUCGUAGCUCUUUCAAGGUCUCUCGGAACUGAGAAGAUGAUGGUACGCCAUUUAAGAUAAGUGAUCAUAUAAUCCUCCGUUCUAGAUAUCAGCCGGACAAAUACAUGGAACAUUGUCUUGCUUAUUGUCCAGCAUUUGUUUCCCGAUUUCCGAUUUGUUUGACAUAGAACUUAAUUGAACACAUCAACUUAGUUCUGACCGGGCCCGGUACAUGGGUCAAAACAAAAUCAUCGAGGGGCCCAGAUAUCAGCUUCUAAUCCAAGAAGGAACAGAUAAACUUCGACUCAUAUGUUUGUUCUACCACUCAUUGAAUUACACACAAAAGUACGUUUUAUAACAUCGAGUUACCAAUGCGGUUUCGUACAGUCAAUGCAUAACCAACUUGUAAGUAACAAAUCAUAUCUCUAGGUUUGAAGACUUAUAUGAUAUUACCGUCUCACGAUCACUCGAGAUAGAAUUCCAUGAAGUGAUUCCAGUGAGCGUGGGUUGAGUCCAAUGCUCAGAACUUAUGAGCACUCAUGAUUGUUGUAGCCUUGUCCAAGACCUCUACAACCAAACAUGACAGUCUUGAUUCAUAUCUACUUCCAACAUAUGACCGACUGUGGAGGUUUGAAUAAUAUGUUAUACCAAACAAAAUUAUUCUGGAAGUCAAAACAUGCAAAAGAAAUAUAGUAAACGAUUGACAAGAGAUAGCAACACUUUACUCAUAAAUAAAAC
RNAcentral lists this long non-coding RNA (7710 nucleotides) under Lactuca sativa (garden lettuce). RNAcentral's name for it is "long non-coding RNA (LSAT_LNC003914)". Lineage: Eukaryota; Viridiplantae; Streptophyta; Magnoliopsida; Asterales; Asteraceae. The record is from RNAcentral.